UACGUAGGGGGCAAGCGUUGUCCGGAAUCAUUGGGCGUAAAGCGCGUGUAGGCGGCUCGAUAAGUCUGCUGUGAAAGUCCAGGGCUCAACCCUGGGAUGCCGGUGGAUACUGUCGAGCUUGAGUCCGGAAGAGGCGAGUGGAAUUCCUGGUGUAGCGGUGAAAUGCGCAGAUAUCAGGAGGAACACCUAUGGCGAAGGCAGCUCGCUGGGACGUGACUGACGCUGAGACGCGAAAGCGUGGGGAGCGAACAGG
RNAcentral lists this ribosomal RNA (253 nucleotides) under uncultured bacterium. RNAcentral describes it as "partial 16S ribosomal RNA". It matches the Rfam family "Bacterial small subunit ribosomal RNA", at positions 524 to 776 of the family's 1533-position model. The record is from RNAcentral.